ACGGAGGAUGCAAGCGUUAUCCGGAUUUAUUGGGUUUAAAGGGUGCGCAGGCGGAAUGAUAAGUCAGUUGUGAAAGUUUUCGGCUUAACCGGAAAAUUGCAUUUGAUACUGUCAUUCUUGAGUGUACAUAAGGUAGGCGGAAUUCGUGGUGUAGCGGUGAAAUGCUUAGAUAUCACGAAGAACUCCGAUUGCGAAGGCAGCUUACCGGGUUACAACUGACGCUGAUGCACGAAAGUGUGGGUAUCAAACAG
Molecule: ribosomal RNA, 251 nt
Filed under: uncultured prokaryote
Description: partial 16S rRNA
Rfam family: Bacterial small subunit ribosomal RNA
Source: RNAcentral